RNAcentral lists this ribosomal RNA (492 nucleotides) under uncultured bacterium. RNAcentral describes it as "partial 16S ribosomal RNA". It matches the Rfam family "Bacterial small subunit ribosomal RNA", at positions 29 to 507 of the family's 1533-position model. The record is from RNAcentral.
AGUGAACGCUGGCGGUAGGCCUAACACAUGCCAGUCGAACGGCAGCACAGUAAGAGCUUGCUCUUACGGGUGGCGAGUGGCGGACGGGUGAGGAAUACAUCGGAAUCUACUUUUUCGUGGGGGAUAACGUAGGGAAACUUACGCUAAUACCGCAUACGACCUACGGGUGAAAGCAGGGGAUCUUCGGACCUUGAGCGAUUGUAUGAGCCGAUGUCGGAUUAGCUAGUUGGCGGGGUAAAGGCCCACCAAGGCGACGAUCCGUAGCUGGUCUGAGAGGAUGAUCAGCCACACUGGAACUGAGACACGGUCCAGACUCCUAAGGGAGGCAGCAGUGGGGAAUAUUGGACAAUGGGCGCAAGCCUGAUCCAGCCAUACCGCGUGGGUGAAGAAGGCCUUCGGGUUGUAAAGCCCUUUUGUUGGGAAAGAAAAGCAGCAGGUUAAUACCCCGCUGUUCUGACGGUACCCAAAGAAUAAGCACCGGCUAACUUCGUG